Long non-coding RNA from Lycium barbarum (goji berry), 3294 nucleotides. RefSeq lists it as uncharacterized. The transcript has 4 exons. The record is from RefSeq and is a predicted model, not a curated record. Lineage: Eukaryota; Viridiplantae; Streptophyta; Magnoliopsida; Solanales; Solanaceae.
UGUUUCAGACGGCUUCGUCUCUUUCUUCUUCCGUCUACUUCUUAUAUUUGUUACCCUUUCCUGUCGUGCUUUCUGUCUUUUCUUUUAUGAUUCUACUUAAGCUUCUUGACUAUGAAAACCUAUACUAUACUACAAUUGAUUUUAAAAGCGAUCGACAAAUUUAACUGGGUUUUUGGGCAAAUCGCCGGAAAUGGCUCUUUCCUUGUGCUUCCUUCUCAGUUAUCUAACUCUUUCUAUUGUAUGUUUUCAAAAGAUAAUCUUCUUUGAUUUAUGUAGUUGGUACUAGGAGCGGGCGUUCGAUUUUUCGGUUCGAUAAAGUAGUUGGUACUAAGGGCAGGUGUUCGAUUUUUCGGUUCGAUUUUAUCAAAUUUCGGUUUGGCUAUUUCGGGUUCGAUUUUUUGAAGGUGGACACCGAAUACCUAAUCAAACUAGUUCGGUUCGGUUCUUUCGGUUUCGGUUUUUUAAAGUUCGAUUCGGUUCGGUUUCGAUUUUUUUCAAUUCGAUUUUUUUAUACGAUAUUAGAAGCGAUUUCAUUGACACUAAUUCGUAUUCUUAAAAACAAUAAAAUAUAAAACUGAUAAAUUAAAAUUAAAAUCAAACAAAUAGGAUACACAAAAACAGAAAAUUAUAAUCAUGAUAUAGGAUUAUUAGGUGUUAUAUACAUAUCGUAAGAAUAAUUAAGAAAACACAUAAAGAACAUAUAUUAAUCUAAAGACACAUUCUAGUUACUUUUCUUUGUUAAGAAUAUUUGAUUUUCUUAACUGAAUUGAAAAAUUAUAAUACAAAAGCACAAAUGCAAAAGAGGACUUGUUACAAUAGGGUUUUUUCUGGCUUUAAACUUAAUGGACUUGGACUAUUUUAAUUUUUUUGGUUAAUGUAUUAAAUUUCGGUGGACAUUUGGUUUUUCGGUUCAGUUUUAUCAAACUUCGAUUCGGCUAUUUCGGUUUCGAUUUUUUGACGGUGGACACCAAACACCGAACCAAGUAGUUCGGUUCAGGUCGGUUUGUUGAAGUUUCGGUUCGAUUCCAUUUGAUUUUUCGAUUUUCGGUAUUUAUGCCGACCCUAGUUGGUACUGUGAAUCUGAGAUUUUUCUUCCUUUAAUUUUUCAUGUUAAAAUUAGACUUUUGCUAUUAGUUUGGUGAGUCCAUUCUAAAAAUUUCUUUGUUAAUUAGAUCGCAUUCCUCUUCUUUUGAUGAAAAUCUGUUAGUUUGCUAUUAGUUUUUGUGAUUUUAUUCUGAUGGGUUUUGUUUUUUUUCCUCCUUUUUUUAUGUAAAAUCUGUUAGUUUGCUAAAAAUAGACGCAUAAAGCUCAUAUUUUUGACCGGCGGGUGAAUGCCAAUCUGAAUAUUGUGGACACUGAGACCAUUUCAGUGACAAAGCCAUUGCAUCAUUGUCGGUCUGAUGGGUUAAAUUGUCUUUGCUUCAUCAACCAAUUAAUUCUUUGUUUUAGUUCUGCUAUUGAAAUGGUAUACUUCCAUUUGUUCUCUUGCUACGGCUAUCUAAAUCAUUGGGUUCAGCGAUUUCUUCUCCUACAAAUUGGUCGAGCAUGUUUUCAUCUCACUGUAUUGAUGGAUUAUCUGUUCAGGUGACUCAAGAAAAGCUUAGCAACCUUGAACCAGUAGCGCGCAUAAGGAAAGCCUAUGAAGAAUUUACCAGUUUUUAGAUAAUACAAUCUUCAACCAGUCUUUUUCACCAAAAUAUACCAAGUUGUGAGUUAGAUGAAGUCUAAGCAAAGCUUACCUUCCUUCUGCAUCAGAGAAAAGCCUUGAGGACUACUAUGUGAAUACAUAUGCUCUAAAGGGCAGAAUAUAACACAAAGACAUACUUAUGGGCAGAGAAGGCAUGAAGACAAAAGUUUUACUAAUGGGAGAAGUUCACAAAUGCUAAUUCUGAAAGUUGGGUUCUAAGAAAAUCUUUUUGAGAAUUGGAGUUAUCUCACUGUUGAAAAGGAAAAAAAAAAAAAAAAAAAAAAGGUUAGUUCCAACUGAUAUGCUAAUUUUAGUAGAGGUAUUGGUCUUGCUUCAUCGGUUUAAAUCGUCUACCUGCCAGACAUAAGUUAUUCACCAUUACACGCGUCAAAUUAUUAUUUUUCCACUCCAAGUAAUAUUUCAACUUGGAGUCCUUUUUGAACUUCUACUACGGGAAUACACAUUGAAGCAUUAAAUUUAUCUUCUCAACUACGUGAACCUUUUGCUCCUCUCCUUUCACCAAAGAUGCAUUUUUGCGCUUUUUACCGAGUCUUAGAGUAUCGUUGACAUGAUUUGGUUUGUUGAUUUUGGUAUGUACAAGUGUUAUGCCUCUUAAAUCUUACUGCGAGUUCGUUUACUGGAGUUUUACGACUUAUCUUGUUAUAAGAGAGGUUCAGAAGUUUUUUGUGUGGUUUAACUUUGAUUGCAGCACCAGUGAUAAGUGCUUUUCUCUCGAAAGAAAAUAUGUGAUAUUUUAAUAUCACGAUUCUUGGUCCAACACAAUCUGCUUAUGGGGGUAUUUUGUCCAACCAAUUAUGCUAAGUAAAUGAAAGUCCGUGUUGCUAUUAUGCUUCUCUUGAAUUGGUUAUUCUCUGUGCAUAGUUCUUGGGAAGACGUUAGCAUGUUUCACUGGUUUUCUUUUCAUUUUUCAUGCCACAACUAUCAUUUGCCUGUAUAGUAAAAACGUUCAUUGGCCUACCCAGUCCCUCUUUUUUGAAGCAUGUGGAUUAUGUAUUUAUGUUGAACAUGAUCUGGCAGAGGAUGAUAUGUUGCUAAUUGGGAAAGUUGAGUUCUUGAAAAUCUUUCUGAGAAUAGGAGUUAUCUGAUAUGUUCGUCGUUGUUGAGAAGGAAAAGAAAAACUUUAGCUGAUAAGCUAAUUUAGUAAAGCUAAUUCUCCAAGUCCACAAAAUGAGGAGCUUUAACCUUUGACACUCUUUCAGAUAUCAGUAUAUCUUGAGUUAAUUUAAUUACUAUUCUAAAUCUUGUUAAAGCUAGCUAAGUUGGUGUGAAUGAGAAAUGGAGGGAAAAAGAUAAUGGAAGGAAAAUGAAGUUCAAAGCAAAGUUCCUUUGAAAAGGAGCCUUGUACCACAUUGGUGAUAGAAAGGGAAAGUUAUGUGCUUAUAUUAAAAAGCACUUCCUCUAGCUCUUAAAGGGUCAAGAAGAGGGACUCCCCUUGUGCCGUUGUCGUCGUUCGGCUUUGGUUUUUGAUUUGGUCAAAUGAUCUGAUUGAUUGAUAAUCUUUUUUGACCAAAUUUAUUUAAAUUCAAUCUUCAUUUUCUGAAAUUAUUUUGUUAUUUCCGCCGUAAAAUAUUAAUUAAUAAAUAAUU